AGGAGCUCAUUUUCGUGGAUCUCCAAGUUUAGGUCGUCUCCCUCUCGAUCUUCAAGAGGUAAGAGCCGAUCUUAAGCUCCUCAUGUUAGGUUUUAUGUGAUUUAUGAACAAUGUGACAUGUUUGAGUAUGCUUGAAGUGUUGUAGUUGGGGUAUUUGAUGUUUUGAGGCCCCUAGGAUCUUGUAUGCAUGUUUUUAAGUGAGGUAUAUGCAUGAUUGGUGAGUUUGGAGGCAAAAUGCACAAAGGAACCGAGUUUCUGC
This 259-nucleotide long non-coding RNA is filed under the name Manihot esculenta (cassava). RNAcentral describes it as "long non-coding RNA (MESC_LNC000326)". Lineage: Eukaryota; Viridiplantae; Streptophyta; Magnoliopsida; Malpighiales; Euphorbiaceae. The record is from RNAcentral.